UCUUCCAGUCUCUUGUAACCAAAUAUUUAUCAAGUCAGAGAGAGAAUUACUUCCUCUCUCACUCAGCUGCAUUGUCACUGAGUGUGGUUCAUUUCUUUGCUUUAACGGUUGUGUAGUUAUUUAUACUAAAGUAUAUGAAGUUAUUUAAACAGUUUACUUAAUAGAGAUUUACCCAGCAGCCUGUGUUAUACAGAAUUACAGACCACUGGGUUAAAUUCCAUUUUAAGGGCCUGAAACAUGAUCUUCCAUGCUAGCUGUCUUGGCAGGCAGUGGGAAGCUGAGCAAACUUUUUGGAGAAAACCGCGGGGCAGUACUUGCUCACUAGCCAGAGCAAUAUCACCUGAUGGAUCUGAGGGCUGCAAGGAGCUCUCCAGAGAAAAACCAACUGCUACAAUUCAGACUGCUACUGAAGUAAGUAAGUAACCCCUGAAGAAUCAAAGCACAAAUUGAUGCCUUUCAACACUAUGUUUCUGUAACUAAGGAACUGCCCAGCUCUGCAAUAAUUUCAUUGUCUGGGUAUGCUUAAAAUGCAGGGUGGCAUGAAGGAAGAGGAAGCAGUUUUCAGGAUUAUACCUUCAUCUGUGCUACUAAGCCUAAAAAUUAAUUUAAAAUCUAGUUCAAUUUCAUUCCAGGUUUUCAUUUGUUCAGUUAUUUGGGGUAAAUGCAAAGUGGAUUUAGUGACAUUGUUUUAGAUGUGUUGAAUUAAAACAGGAUGUGGCCUAAACCACAGCAAGUACAAGGUAUUUUUCCACAAUUCUCUUUUCAGUGCUUAUUUCAGUUUAUGCUGACAAAUACUGCAUGCUUCUUCUACUUGUCUUUUUUUCUAGAAAUGUUUUAAAACAAGUAUGGUUGAAGUUUAGGCCUGAUUUAAUGUUUUGAAUUUCAGGUAUUUUUAUCUUGUCUUGGCAACAGCAGAGUAAAGUUAGGACAGUCUUUGAGAGGAGUCUCAGUUAUCCCUGCCUCUGAGCAGGAACAGCUUUACAGAGGGUGGGCAGGAAGGUUGGGUAUUGCUCAGGAAAAUAUUUGGGGAAGGGGGCUGAAACUGUCUACAAACUAACAGCAAACCUUUUGCAUACAAGGUAGAACCUUACAAGCAGUGUUCUCCCCUGGCCAGGGCAUCCCCUUCUCUGGGCAUACUGGGAUCUCCUCCACAAAAGGAAUGAUCUUGUCAGUGGUUUCUCCCCUGUGAGAAGGGCAAAGCAACAGUGGCAUCUCAACAGGGGGGAUUUUCUUCACUUGCCGGAGGGGAGAGAGGAUAAUGGGGUCUGAACUGUUGACUCGGUCACCGUGACAGGUCUCACAGGCAUAUGGCUCUUCUCUACAGACCUACACUGAGUGCUGGGCCUGGUGGGUGUGGAAGUUUUUACAUUCCCUGGUGGGAUGCUUUGCAUUCAGUGGUGAUGUAGGAGGCUCUGCUGGAGCAGCCAAAGCAACAAAUUCAGCAGCACCCCAUCUGAGAUGUGUGUCCACUUUUCAUAGCACAGCUAGCUCCACCAGCAACCUCAUCAGUAGUUUCUGAGAUGAGUCCAGUCCCGUGGGACUGCAACAGAUUCAGGACAUCAGUUUUCUUGAGUUCCCUGCUCUAUACUGAGGUCUUCCCUAAUAUUGAGCUUAAGGGUCCAGGGUGAAGCUUGUGACCACUGUGCUUUAUCUGGAUGUGGAAGGGAAGGUCGCUGAUGUGAUGUGAGGACCAGAGCCAUGAGGCAAUGCUGAAGGGGAGCACAAGCUCCACGCAGAAGAGGACUUCUGAUUUAGUGUGUCCUGAUAUCCUGGUUGCAGGGUCAGAUCAGAAAGCUGGAGAUGUCCUGCUGAAGAUGUUGGACUAGAUGACCUGGAGAGGUUUAGAUCAGGUAUUAGAAAAGCACGUUUCAUGGAGAGGGUUGUAAAGCACUGGAACCGCCUACCCAGGGAAGUGGUGGAGUCACCAUCCCUGAUGUGUUUAAUAAUGUGUGGUUGUGACAUUUGAGGACUUUAUUUAAUGGUGAACAUUAUGACGGUACUAGGCUGAUGGUUGCACUUGAUGGUCUUAAAGGUCUUUUCUAAGCUUGACAGCUCUAUGAUUCUACCUUCAAAAGUCCCAAUCCUCUCAAAACAUUCCAUAGUCCUAUGAUUCCAUGAAAGCGACACUCACAAAAGAUUCCUGUUUAAUCAAGUAUGUUUCCCAAGUACCAGGCUCGAUAUGGCUGUUUCAAUUUUAUGUGAAAAAAAAUCUUUGGAUUUAUUAAAGAACACUAAUCUCCUUAGAAAGAUAAUUAGCUGCCCACCACCAACAGGAUUUUGAUGGAAAACUUUUGAAUAAAGGUUGUAGAAGUCUUUGCCUAGGUUCAGAAUACUAAUUUAGUAGAAUGGCAGUGUAAUAUAUUAAAGUUUUGCCCAGAAAUGGUGGAUGUAUUAAAGAUUACCUUGGUGCUCCAAGUUUUUAAACUAUAUGUCUGUGGAAAGGUAAAGCAAAUUCUGUGUUCAGUACUUUGGUCUUUGCUGUACAGUGCAUCCAGCAACAUUAAUAUUUACCUUGUACAUUAUUUUCUCUGCUUUGGAGAUGCAAAUAUGUACUCAUAGCUAUAAGAUCAUGUUAAUUUUAUCAGGAGAUCCAGUCUGCCAAAUCAUGCAACUGGAUUGUUGCCAUGGUCGUGACUUGUAAUGAAAGAGGAGCUUUUAGCUAUGCCAUGAAAUAGGACUCCAGUGAGAUUGGUCAGAUGUAAAAUAGAUGAGGCCUUGAACUGACGGGACUUAGUGAGUCAGAGUGAUUUGGUAAGUAACAUGUUUUUCCUGCUGCAUGUAUAAAAGAAUGACUAAGAAACCAAACCCCCAGGGUGAGAAUGAAAAUAAAAAGGGAAAACUGCUCAUAUCCUGACCAAAUAGGAACAGUCCAAGUCCAGUAUUUGGAACCCCAUUUUGCCAGUUCUUUUUCUGAAGUUCAGAGACCUUCACCAGAAUAAAUGGUAUUCUAGAGUUCUGUCCAGCCUGUUAUCCAUGACAUCCAUUGAUUAAAGAACAGCAGGAACUCUGACAGCAACAAAAUACUUCCAGUCUGAGAGAUAAAUAAUUUUUAAACAAAAGGAAGAGAAAUAUUUCUUCUUUAGACUCAUACCACAAAUGGGACAUCUCAAGUACGUGAAAUUGGAAUUGAAAACGGAAAUCUGCAAAUAAUUUCAGCUAUAUGGCUUUUGCGGCACACAUUAUAACACUGAGUGCUUGCUGCAGUGCUAAUGCUGUGCAAUAAUUCCUUGGAAAAGUACCUUUUCUUUCUCUGUUCCCAUUUAUCAGUCACCAUUAAAGAGGUCCUGCAUUAAAGUGAUGGUUGUAAUGAGGAAAGGAAAAGAUACUGGGCUGACAUCUGAAUAAACAGGAGGAGAGGAUCCAUGACUGACUGAUCAAGAUUAUUUUUACCCAUCAUUGUUUUAAUGUGCAAGUCAAAAGUUUUCUUAGUAAAGAGAGAGCAGCUUCGGGAGUUGAUUUAACUUGUAGUGAAAUGUCAUCUUAAUAUUUAGCUGAAGAAAAAAGCCUUAUUUGAAGUUUGUGAGGGGAAUAGCUUAAACAGCAAACUAUUUUGCUGCUACUGUUCCACUCUAGCCAAACUUUCAAAGUGUAAUUAAAACCAUAUUCAUCAUAUAGCAUAUUUUUUCCCUCUUCUUGCCAAAAAUAUUUCAAUGUAUAUUAAAUGUUUUUCUUCCUAAUCAGAAUGAGUGAUCCAAGCUCCAGAGGGCACCCAGCCAGAAACUCCUGAGUUUUAAUUUUAGCUUCUAUGUGGCUUCUUAGCUUGUUUCUCUUCUCUGAAGGGCAGCAAUAGCAGCCUACAUAACUAAUUUUCUCUCAGGAUGAUUCCUAUUCUUAUGUGGAAUGCGGAAGGGAGCAGGAAGCCAGCAGAGCCCGUGGAGUCCAAUAUUUUCAGCCAUUCAGGAAGGAGGAGGAAUUCUGUUGAAGCCCCACUGUGCUAGGUCCUCUGGGCACAGAUGCUGACAGGCAGUUCCUGAUCCAGAUCUGGGUGCCACCUGAGAACUACUGUUUAUGGACUUGGUUGUUUAUCUUCUGAAUAGCUGCUGUAGGACCUCUCUUCCUCUGAAAGCCCAAGCAGGAUAAUAAACAGUGCUAGCCAGCACCCAAGGACCUGGUCUUAGUCGUGUCGUGAUGUUGCCACACAGCCUUCCUCAAUAAAACUUAUACACAGGAAACUCUUUGAUGUACAAAAUAUUUAUCCCGCCUCUUUCAUGUCACAAUUUUACCUUUCAGUGUUCUGUAUGACACAUUUGUGUCCAAACAGUUAACAUCUGAAGUGAAAUUUGUAGAGUCACUUCCAGGGUAGGAAUGAAUCGGGUGUGAGUAAUGAUGACAUACUGCUUCGAAAAAUUCAAGAGGCAAAGUGAGAAGAAAUUAAAAACAGGGGAGUGCCAUCCCUGCCAGGGGAGCCUGUCACCUUCUCUCACCAGCUGCAGGAGUUUGUGGCUACUUCCCAACCCAGCUGUCCUGGCCACAGCCCGUGUGUGCUUACCUGGUCCCUCCCCUGGAGCCGUGCCCUGUGCAGCACUGCCAAACUAUGAGCUCCAUGAGCUGUUCCUCCCUUCCUCUUCUUAUCUGCUGGCACCCUUCAGUUGAUAAUGCCUUCUUUCGCCACACACCUUUGCCUUUAGCUCUCCUUGCCUUCAUCCUCUCUCCCACGGGUGGCAGCACACAAGGAUAGUUCUCAUUAGAGGGAAAAGAGAGGGCUUGAUCUAUACAACUGUUUUCUAGAUAGAAAAAGCAGCAGGGCACAGAAGACAGCAAAAUUUUAACUUGAAAGUGUUAUUUUAUUUUUUUGUGCAUGUUUCUUGUAUACACAUCUGAAAUGGGUUACUCCAGCCAUAUGGAUAGCAGAACUUCUGGCUUCCAUGAAGUUUCCUAUUUUUUCUUUAAAAUGGCUGUCAGAGUUCUGGGGUUACAUUGCUAAAACCACAGAGGAGUAUAAUGAAUGUAAACUCUUGAUUUCCACAUGAAAUGCUAAGUAAACUUUUCAAUGAAGCAAAUCAGAAGAAAUUACCUGUGAUUUAAUCUGAAUUUUCUUUUGUGGGUUUUUUGCCUCAGUUUGAUUGCACUCCAAUACUGUCAGUUCUGUUCUUGCCCUGGCUGGGAAUGGUUCUCUUGAUUGUCUCCCAAAAUCACUCAUGGGCUCAGCUACCUGAUGUUCCUGUGUUCUGGAUGUUUUUCCAUCAUCUCACUCUCAGAAAGUGGCCAGUGGCCUUUCCAAAUAUACUGUUCCUAUUUCAGCCAGGUUUUACCAUCUGCUCAGUCCCUUGCUAGCCAUAUAGCCAUUAUGAACCUGAACAGUUAUAUUUGGCUGAUUGGUAGCUCCUUUCAAGACCACAAACUUUCUCCAAGGCUCAAGGUAUUGCAGCAUAAAGUAAUUUGAGAUCCUCAGGUAGAAAAUAUGAAGAUAAUAACUUUCCUCAUCUGUCACAUAUACUAAUGCCACAUUACCCUCUGCUGCUCUCAGCAGCCCGCUAAUUUCUGUCAUUCACAGCUAUCAGAAGACACUAAUAAUUCCAGCUCCCUUUCCAAUACCAGUAACUUCUUCUACUUGGCUUGUCUUCCCCAUUUGGCCUUUUCGCCGAUCCACAUGCAAAGAAUUUUCAUCAUUAUAUUAGACUCUCUCCUUCCUUCAACCCCUACCCCUCAACUUCUACUACUAUUAUUUUGCCUCCUUCUGACUCAUCCCAGAAGACCCUUAUGCCUUCCUGUCACUUAAGAGCCCCUCCUAUAACAUUUGGUCUGGGCUCUCCAUCAUCGCUAUUAUUGCCCAUUGCACAGAAUUCCUCAGCUUGCUCUGUAGUGGGAGCCCCUCUGCUCUUUCCUCUGAUCAAUUGCUCCUUUCAUGUUGAAGUCCAACUGCUUCCUGUUGAUUCUCAAAAGCUGCCUUUUCAGCAAGCAAACCAUGAAAGCACCUUUGUUUCAUCUUUCUAGGGUUUUCACAAAAUACAGUUGAAACCAAUUUCACUUUUAGUUAGUAUUUCACAGUGGGUAAUUAAUAGCCUAUUACUAAUGCUUUCUUUUGAUAGUUUUUAUGUGUUCUUGAACGUGGUAUUGCCUUCUGUACUGAUUAUUGGUUAUGUACUAUUUAUGCAGAUGUCUUCCUUGCUAGUCCAUAGUGAUUCCCUUAUAGUACCAUAAUCCCUUUUCCAUGGCAGCCCAGAAAUGUCAUAUCAGACUGUGAUGGUUGGUCCUAAUUCUUUCUCCUCUGCAAUCAUGAAAAGAGGCUCAGGGGUGACUUCAUUGCUCUCCACAACUGCCUCAAAGGAGGUUGUAGCCAGGUGGGGAUUGGCCUUUUCUCUGAGGUAAUAACAGGACAAGAGGGCAUAGCCUCAAGUUGCACCAGGGAAGGCUUAGAUUGGAUAUUAGGAAGAAAUUCUUCACUGAAAGGCUAGUUAGGCAUUGGAAUAGGCUGCCCAAGGAAGUGGUAGAAUCACCAUCCCUGGAAGUGUUCAAAAACCUGUGAGCAUAGUACUUGGGGACAUGGUUUAUUUCUGAAUAUGACCGUGGCUGGGUUAGCAAUUGGAUUUGAGGGUCUUUGAGGUCUCUUCCAACAGUAACAGUUUGAUGAUUCUAUGACAGCUUGCACCAAUAAAAAUUUCAGCUGGGUAUAUUCUCACUGCUUGGGCUAGAUCAGGAGCUGUGAACAGAUUGUCUUGUGCAGGUCUGUGGGUUCACAGAGCUUAGAUAGAAACUGGGCCUUGAAAGCCAUAGGCUGACAUUGCUGAAAUUGGCUUAGAAAGCUGAGCAGAGGCAGGCUUGUGCAGAAGAGUGCCAGGGGAAGGGGAAUGUGCUGACUUGCAUAGCACCAAAGCUAAAUGCAGGAUGUAUUGGGAUGCAGCAGAUAUGGAAAGGGCUGCCUGGUUCAGACACCUGAAGGUAGAUCUAUGUGGAGCGCAAAAUAGGCUCAAUUUACUAAUUCUAGACAAUUUAAAAGAAGGAGAAUUGCAGACAAGCAGGCUUGUUGCACAACUUGUACACUGGAGAGUGAACCACUGGGUCAAUUCCUUGCCAUCAAUGGAACCACAAAUGUAGAGCCAGAGCCAAUUCACUUUCAUGACUUGCCAUACCCAUGCUGUUUCUGCCAGGAUCUGGGGUGGGACCAAUGAAUUCUCCCCUAGUACACUGUAAAAACAUUGACAGAGGACCUCCACAGCCUACUGCAACAUUACAAACCCUAAGUAUCACAUCUGGAAAAAAUGGUACAGGGUCAAUACAUGACUUCACUCACUCAGGCACUUGUAAACCCCUUUCCCACUGUCCUGUCAUUCUCUCUUAUGGUAAGCUGAUAGAAUUGGAGUGUAUUGAAAAUGUCCCUCUCAAAUUAGUGCUGUACCAGAGACACUCUGGCUGGUGUGUUGAGGGCAGGGAAAAGCCAUGCAUGGAAACACUGCAUUACUUAAAGGUAUGGAGUCCUGUGUGUAUGCUUGGUAUGCUUGGGCUGUGACAGAACAGCUCUCUUGAGAGGGAAAAGACUGACAAAAAAAUGACAAUAAUGUUUUCUGAGGGUGAGGUCAGGCAGGAACCUGAGCAGAAGCAGGCACAAUGCGUAGCACAGAUUUGGUAUUCUCCUAUGUACCGCUCUCUCUCUCUCCCAGUUUUUUACAGUCAUUUAGGCUUGACAAAUGCUAAUCCUCUAAAUUGGGAUUAAAGCAUUGCUUCAAGUGCUUUGGCACUGAAGACCAUUCUAGGAGUCUGAGGAGCUCAUCCACAACUUUCCACGUGUCAUAGGCCUAGGCUGUACCUGCUGUAUAGGACUUUGGCCAUCUUCCUUUUGAAUGUUUAAGGACUGUUUGAAGAGGGAGCAGGUCAAGACAGAGAACUUGUAAGAGCUGUACUUUUGCUGGAGUUUUACCAAGAAUUGCAGGUCCAGAUUUGCCUUGUAACCCUGCCCCAGUGGGAGAAUUUUUGAUGUAAAUUUGCUUCCCCAGUUAUAAAAUCAUAGACUGGUCUGGGUUGGAAGAAGCCUUAAAGAUCUUCUAGUUCCAACCUCCCUGCCAUGAGCAAGGACACCAUUCUCUAGACCAGAUUGCUCAGAGCCUCCAACCUGAACACUUUCAGGGAUGGGCCUUCUCUGGGCAACAUGUUCCAGUGUGUCACCACCCUCACAGUAAAGAAUUUCUACCUAAUUUCUAAACCUACUCUCCCUUCGGUUUCAAUCUGUUCCCCCUUGUCCUAUGCCCUUGUAAAAAGACCCUGUUGCAGACCCCCUUUGGAUGCUGGAAGGUGCUGUAAGGCUCCCUAGAGCCUUCUCUUCUCCAGGCAGAAUAGCACCAGCUCUACCAACCUGUUCUCAUAAGAGGUAUUCCAACAUUCUGAUAAUCUUCAUGGUCUUCCUCUGGACCUGCUCCAACAGGUCCAUAUAUUUCCUGUGCUGAGGACGCAGAGCUGGAUGCAGCACUCCAGGUGUAGUCACACAAGACCAGAAUAGAGGGAGAGAAUCACCUCCCUUGACCUGGUGGCCAUGCUGCUUUUGAUGGAGCCUAGACAAAGGUGGCUUUCUGGACUGCUAGGGCAUGUCAGCCAACACAUCCAAGUCUUUCUGCUGAGGACUGCUCCCAUUCCACUUGGUCCCCUGCCUGUAUUUGUGCCUGGAAUUGACCCAAGUGCAGGAUCUUGCGUUUGUCCUCAUUGAGCUUCAUGAAGUUCAUGUGGACCCACCUUUCAAGCCUGUCAAGGUCCCUUUGGAUGACAUCCCAUCGUAACAUCUAUUUGUACAACAGACCUCCACAAAUGAGAAUAAUGUAUUCCUUGAAGCAGGAUAUAUUUAAAAUGCAAUAAUCCCGAAUAACUCAGACCCUCUGUUAGGAACUGCCAUAAUGACUAAUGAAGCAUUAUGAAGUUUCCAUCUGCAGUUCACCAUCACCGUAGGCCUCUCGAAGAGAUUUGGUUGUUGUAAUUUCAAUGUGUCAUGGUCUCAGUCUUGGUCAAAGUGACGUCUGCAGACUGGAUCCAUCAGGUGGAAGGGACAGUCCUGGGGAAAUCCACAGAACACAGCCUCUGUUGGGCUUAUAUUCCUGUUCAGAUAAUGCCCAGGCACCUCUCCCGGGUGGGUAGCUUCACACUGGAUGAUGUAUUAAUGUGGAUCAUGAGACACUUCGGGAGUCCUUCACACUUUCUAAGACAAUACAGGUGCCCAUCACACCAGGCAAUUGAGUCACUUAUGGCCCAUCAACAGAGAUGAACACCCUCAGGCCACACGUGAAUGUCCCCGGGGGUGGGGGGAGGGGAGCCCCACGACCUAGUGGUUUGUGCAAGGGAGGAUGGCUUACCGUGACAAGAGGCACCAUCAUCUCCACAGUAUCCCUCUCCUAUCACACAUCAUUCACCCUCUGCCUUAUCAGAUCAGAGGUUAGCCAUUACACGCACAAAAGCUCACCUCCUCCAUUUCAACAAAGCACUCUGGCAGCUCCACAAAUGGGGGAAAUGGUUUGCCAUUAUUAUCCCAAAGAGUUCAGUCUCUCAGCCUUACAGUGAAGGAGCCCUAGUUCCCCAGAAACUUUUGAGUUUCAGAGCCAGGCACAUAUACUGUCUCUUUCUGUCUUUUCCUUUUUCUCAGUGAAUUCCACCCUCUCUUAAAAGUCCAGUUUCACUAGGAACAGUAGAAAAAGCUCUCCUUGUAAAAGAGCUCUUGCUGCAAGAUCCUUGAGCCUUCUCAGGCUCAAAAGAAAAUUGCAGUCAAGUCUCAACUUGCCAUAUGCAACCUCUAGCUACUGAGCUGAAAUGCAAAAGGCAUGAUUUUCAUCAGUUGUGAUCAGUAAGAUGUCACUGAGCUUGUGCUUAGCUCCAUGCUAUCCACCCUUGCUAAACACAUUCAGCAUAUUGCUGGAUGCAGGCUCUGAAGGAGCAGCACACAAGUUAGACCCAAAGACAUCAUCACAUUGUAGAACUAAUAUGGCUUUAGGUGAGCAGGACACAAGUUAGGCCCAAAGACAUCAUCACGUUGUAGAACUAAUGUGGCUUUUAGGUUGGAAAUAACAAUCAAGCUGUUCAGCUCAGCCCAGUGCAUUAGAUAUGUUGUGAGUCUUCUAGAAAAAAUAAAAUUAAAAGACCACUCCAGACAAUCCGACAUGUAAGUAGUUAGGACAAGGAAAGUACAGUUCACUCUGUUAAGACUUUGAAGGCUAAGUUCACUAAGAAACCUGAAAGUUUUAAGUUCCUUUGCAAAACCCAUGUAUCCAUGCUUACAAGACAUUAUUGGUAGAUGAUGAAGUAAUUUGUUACUGUAAUUAUCUCAUGUUCUGAAAAACAGAAGUACCUUUCAAACACUUUGGGAUAGAAACAGAUCUUCACUUGUUAAAAAGUGAGUUGCAGUCAAAGAGCUAAAUUUCCCUGUCAAACUUGUACACAUACUGGAUUUACUAGUAUGGAUGUAGGCUAGGGUUUGGCCAACACAGCUUGUCCCAGUCCCAGUGUUUCAAAUGGCAAUUGGAUGCUCUGCUCUGGCUAGCUGUUAGUGCAGGGACUGCAGGUGUCUUAGCAGUAAGGUAAAUAAAAUAAUGGACUAGUAGUUGAGCUGAGUUCCUGGGCUUAUAAAACCAGUCUUGCUGAGUCUUCAGUACUACUUUCACCUGCAUGAUUCAUGUUGUAGCCACAUGUAGCUACAAUUAGCUGGGUUAAGUGUGAAGUCCUCUGGGAACCUUUCUGAGGGCUCUUAGUAGCUCUAAGCACUAAUUUGUGCUGCUCUAGGAAUUGGUUCAGGUCUCAUUUCCUCUUUCCCUCCAUGGAAGGGCUCAGCCUGCUGACACAUUUAACCCAGUCACCUCCAGCUAUGCACAUGUGCCAGUUCUUCCAUUCAUGGUGUAAGACUCCAGUGCAGAGUGGGCUUCUUUUGCAAGAAGUAAUAAAAGCUGCAUGAGAUGAGAUGAGAUGAGAUGAGAUGAGAUGAGAUGAGAUGAGAUGAUUUAAGCCACAGUUUCAGUUACCAGAGUAGAAGACAAGUUCUGUGAGGGAGCAUCAGAGCUGCAGAUACCCCAGGGUGCAGAGCUGUACCCUGGAAGGGAAUGUAUUCACCUAUGCCCAGAAGGGUCAGCAGAAACUUCAGCAUUUCUACAGGGGAACAGAAGCCAUCUGGUACUCUAUGAGAGGCUUUCUUCAGAGCAUAGCAGCGUGGAAGCCUUACUGCUGCUGAAGCAGACAGCUACUAAGGCUGAAGCCAGGUCUCUCACCCAACUGCCUGGGGGGCUGUGGCUCAGCUACACUCAGAGCAUGCAGACCACAUGGUGCCUAGAUGAUGUAUAAUAGCAUUUAUUUAGUGGCCUGGAGUUCUGAUGUUCCACUGGCUGGCAAAAGGGACAACUUCCCUCUAAGCAGCAGUUACUGACAGGUGCCAGUGUUUGUGCUUGCCCUUUUGUGGUGCCAUGCCCAUGUAAUGCAGGCCAGAGUUGUGCGGAGGGGCUGUGCAGACAGCAUCACAGAAUGAUGAUUAGCAGCUUCAUGACAACAUAAGUCAAAAUGCAAGAUUAAAGCACAACGUGUAGUUAGCAAAUAGGGUGCAAUUGUCUCCUUUUGUCAUUAGGCUGUAGGAUAAGAGAGGAUAAGGCAGCCUUGAAAUAUUUUGGUUGCCACUUGUCAUCUAGAACCUUUCUAGCAGAAAGCUGCUAAAUCAGCCUUGCCAAGCCAGAGGUGAAACUGAUGUUCCAAUGAGUUAGAGAGGGCCCAGUGCUCUUUAAAAAUAGCUUUUGUCACAUAUAUUAAAAAAGUGCUUAUUACUUUUAUCAUGGAAAUGCCGUAAGACAUUUAAUUUUCCCACUCACACAUCAAUCCCCAUUGUGCUUGACAAUGUAUAAACAAGAAAACUGCUCACCUCUCUGGAGCUCUGGGAGCAUUGGCACAGAAGAUGCUCUUCAAACAGUUUUUUAAGAGGAAAUAUGCUCAGCCUUAUAUAAAAAUAUCUACUAAAGUCAACUCAGGAGUCUGUCAGUAAAGAUGUAGCUUGUUUCAGGAGUCCAAACUACUUCUGACAAUGGAUGACAGGACAGACUGGCAUUGCCCAAAGUUUCUCUCUUAACUCUGCUCUUACUUAGUACUUGGCUAGAGUAAUAACUUAUUGCAUAAGGUUAUAUAAAACAAGACUGUACUGUGCAAAGUGCCCCAAAUUAUUUAAUCAAUAUGUUUCAUGGUGUCUGGAUGAUUACACACAAAAUGCCAGGGGCAACAAAGCAAUAAAAGCAACAAGACACUGGAAGUAUUGUUCAGAUAGCUGUGUAAUAAUCUUAGGCAAUUUAAUUUUCUGUGUUGAAAGUUAAUUACUUACUUUAGGGAAACACCGAUUUAAUGUUUUCAGUCAACUAAGUGGCUAAGAUUCAUUAAAAGGAACCCAUAUUACAAAUACCUUCAUGCCACAUUGCUUUUAUUUUCAGAGAUAAAAUUUUCACCUCCUACCCCCCAACCAACUUCUGUUCUAAACAGAUUUCAUACAGUGCUUUUCUCCAUAGCUUCUGGGAACAAAAGCUCUGAAUGAACUUUUGUGGCCCAUGUAAGAACAUGCCCAGGUGUCACAGGUGUCUGACACCAACAGCAUACAGCAGAGAAAUGCAAGGAAAUUCUCGAAAUGAAAAUUUCAACUGUAUCAGAGACAAAAUGGGGCAAGUUGUAUAGGCAAGUCAUUAAUGUAACAGUAAUUAGAGGCUAAAACUUAAGCAAUUGUACCUUAAAAAUAAAAAACCCAACCACCACCCCCCCCCAACCAGCCCCAAAGCAAAGAACAGCAGAGUUAAGAAAUGAGCCAGAAGUAUGUAUUGGUAUGUAAAGAUAAAUAUUGGAAACUUGAACAAUUUUGCUGAAAUGGCCUUUUUAGGUGAGCCUCACUGAAUUCAGUAUACUUUGCCUGUAGAAACAUUGUCUGUUAAUAGGCUUAAGGGAAGCAUGGAGGAAUUGUAAGGAGAAUAACUAAAAUAAACACACCCUAACUUGUUCAUAAUAACAGCAUCUCCCAAAUGCUUUCCUUGCUUUAUAGUCGCUUAAGAAACCACGGGUAGGUAACAAAAACAUUCCUGCAAAGGGUGUGUGUGAACAAAAAAUCUGUCCUAGGUAGGAAUAAUUCAGUCAAUCACAGAGGUGUAAAUAACACUUCGAGUUGGGAAAGUAGUGUGAAAAUAAGCAGUCAGCACCCUUUUACUUGAUACUUGCUCUUUCAUAGCAAUUCUUGAGAUCAAGAGUCGAAGAGACAGAAUUACCAACUCUGAAAACCUGACAUAGUGCAAGAUCUUCCAGGCAUCACUAGUAAGAGCAUCAGCCAAAAGUCUCCUCCUCUCCCCAGAGGCUCACCCACUGCCUCAGAGGACAGUUUUGUCAUGUGUUGUGCAUCCAGAGAUGUGCACAAGAGUCUGAUCUGCACUUUUACCCCAGAGCCUGAAAUGUCUGAGGUACUGCCAUCCCAUUUAGAUACUUGCCAGCAUUUUAAAAGCUGCCACGGAAAUACUCUUUAAUCCUGGAGUGAAGUUUUACUCAUCAAAAUUUGCAAACCUUGCCUUACAACUUAUUAGCUGCUUUGAAUCUUAUCUCAAAGUGAGGCCCAAGGUGUGGUACGCAAAGCAGGGAAGGGAAUGCCUUUCUUGCUUGAAGGUCUUAACCCUUCAGCAUAUGUAAGGCUUGCAACAGAGAGGGUAGAUGCAGGCCCCUGACAUGUGGAAGGCAUUUAAGUGCUUGCACAAAGGAUGGGAGGGGAGGGGAGGAGAGGAGUCAAACAUCAAACAGAAAACAGAACUCUGGAAAAGCUGCUGUCAGCUGCCAAAGCAUGGGGCUACAUAAAUUGUUGACUGGGCACUGCUGUCCAGCCUCUGGAGAAGUCUGACUACUGGAAGCUCAGCUAGAAAGUCGUAUCUCUGAUCAGCUGCAUCAGGAAAUGCUUGAGUGCCUUGCCCCCUAUCUUCAUUUCUGGUAUUUUAAUAUUCAUUAGUUUAGAUGGCUACUCAGAUACCCCAAAUCUGUGUCCAGAGCUUAGGACAGAAAAUUUCAGGGUCAGCAGGCUGCAUUCUUUGCAACAGGAACAGAGUAGAACCAAAUAUUUUUAACAAGUGUCAUCACUGUCUUCUGAUUACUGUCCCAUCCACAUUGCAAUCUGCUUCCAAAUUCAGCUGCAGCUGUUAUCAGGUGGGUUUUCUGCUUAUCACGCUGUUGUAACUAGUACUUCAUGGCAACAGUUCAUCCUCCUCUUUCAGGUGCAGAUAGCCCCAUCUUCUAGCAAAUGAAUCAGAAUUCUUCAUUUUUGCAGUGUACUCCUUACUCAUCAUUUUGUACAAGUUUAAUGACUCCUUCUUUCUCUUAGGUCUGUGUGUAGUAGAGAACCUCCAAAUACAUUUGUAGCAGUGCUGCUGUUCUGUGCCCCACCUGGGCAAAGUGGCCAUGGAAUAGAUGGAUAUGCUAAAAAACAUCACUAACAACAGUUUGCAUACCUAGACUUUCUACAGCAGAAGAAAUAGUUAUUAUUGGUUAAGUUAUAAGGUUGUAUUCAAUUAGGUUACAAAAAAUUCAAAGUCUGAAAGAAAUGCUGUCUUCUGACAAUUGAAAAUUGCAUUGCUACCUUUUUACUAUUAUUUUUUUAAUUAGCAGAUAAGAAGGGGGUGGACAAAGUGGGAGGAUUUAGAUUCAUGACCAAGUUCCCCUCUUUGCUAACAGGAUAGCAGUAAUAGUGUUAUAACUUGUCUUUUGCACAACAUAUAUCUCAGGUUCUAAUAAAGAUACAAUACUUUAUCCCCUGAAUUAGUGAAAGAAAUAAACAGGCAAGUACUAACUGCAAGUAAUUUUGUUCCAUUUAAUUCUCUUCCAAAAAUGAAUCACAAAGUUCAUAAGCUUAUCUUACUAACAUGAGUCUUGUCAACUCUCCUUUUAACUAACUCCAGCCCUGUAGCUUUGAAGCUUGCUAGGGUUGUGGGGCAUGGAGCUGAGCAAAUUUCCCAGGAAAUCUUGAGCAUGUGUGUGGGAGGGGGCAGCGUGCCAUGACUGUGGUCUCACUGUAGCUUUUUGCAACCAUUUCCAAUGUCACAGUGACCUGCAGUUAUUUGAAAAGGAAGUUUCCAGCUGCAAGUAUCUUUAAUUUGCAAGUCUUACCUACUCAGUGAAAGAGGCCUGCUGGGACUGGUAUGCAUCCCUAUUAAAGUCAUAUGAAUGCUUUUUUAUGUUUUUAAUUACACCAUUUGCAUGACACCUCUAAUCUCACGAUGAUCACAUAGGAACUCUGGUUAGGUUUGCCUUUCACAGCUCAAGAGUGCUACUGAAACAAUUUUUAUAUUUGAGCACUGGGAUGUGCCCAGUGGAACCAGAGAUGAGUCAGCAGUUAGCUGUGGUUAUUUGAAUAGCAGAACAAGCCCUGCCUGCCGCUAGGAAACCGUCCACAAAGGUCAGACCGAGUGCUUAGGAUUUAGACACCACCACCCUGGUGACAGGAAUUCUCUCCAGACCUCGGCGGUUUUUAGAACAAGCACCGUUCUAUUUGACAUUUGGACGUUGCUGUAUUAAAUACCGGCUACUUGGUAUCUAAAUGAAGAAUGCUCGACACCACUGCUACUACCCACAGUGAGCCCUGCCUGCCACACUGACAGAUGCUGCUGUCUCCCCAGACAGGGGGGUUAGGUGCUAAAAUCAGUAACUAUUAAAACAAGGGUAUUGAGUAAGGAUCUGCUGAGUCUCAUCAGCAUGAAAUACUGAAGAGGAGGUAAGGAGUCACCACUGCCCUUUCCACAGGAGCUGGGGCUGUAAUUCACAUGUAGGGACAGCCCAGCUGACAAAUUGACUGCUCCAGUAUGGAGAGAGCCGAGUUGCUCAAGGAUAAUCAGGUGCUGAGCCACAGCAGCUUACAAAGCACGACAUUCAGAGUAAAGACAGCGAGAACCUUUACAAGUUAUUACCUACACUGGCAGGAGUUUGUGGGGGGUGUUAAGCCAGAUACAGGAUGUGUGAGACAGUUCCCUGGCAAGGCACUACUUCUCACAAACAGUCCUGGAGAGGAAACGGUUUAUAAGCUAAAACUCAUUUAGGGUUCAGCUCUGUUGCCCUGCAACCACAGGAAACAAGCAUCCCAGCCCCACUUAUGAGUCAUGGAUUUUGGGAACUUCACCUUGAAGAGCAGGAAAGAGUCCUCUCGAGGUAGAAUGGAUCUCUUUUAUUCCUUCUCCUGAGAUCACUGCCUAAGCUCCUUCAUUUGCCAAAGAAAAAAAAAAAGAAAAAAGAAGGCACAAUAAGAAACACAGCUGCUUGUGAUGGUUCCACCCUCCCUUAUUCAAUUGUUCAGUGGUUUAACAUUCAGCCUGAAUGUUGCAGACCUACUUUUAAUUCUCCCUUCUAGCUGAGAGGAUUCAAGGCCACAUUGUUCCCGCCCUCCACUCAAGUGACCUAUCUACAAAACAGCUGAAUUAAUAACAAAAAUAAAAGGAGAAAGACAUCCCACGACAAACGCCUUCAUGUUCUGCUGACCCACUUCAGUGAGAACACUUGAAAAUUCUGUGGCUCUUACUGAGAAUGAUUUUGCCAGGACUAAGAACUGCAAUUAGUCUAUAAAACCAGUGUUACUUGUUCCAGACACACACAGACUUUAAGGCACCCUCUGCAUCCGAGCAGGGGUUUAAAAUUUCUUUUCAAGACAAAUCCCAGGCCUCUGAGUUACACACCAAAAAUCCAUUUUUAUCAUUCUCUCUGACAUGUUUUUAUGAGAACAUUAAAUGUCAUUAAAGUCAAGAGAGUAAAACCAGGAUUCUGCCGAAGGCAAGGCUUAGAACAAUAGUAUUAAUGAACUACAAUUCGUCACCACAAGGCCAAAUGGCAUAUAGGUGUUGCUAUACAGCAACACAGCCCUGGCCCAUAAGCAAGCACUGGGGUUUAACAACUGGCAUUUAUUGCUGUAGGUAAAUACCAGCUGCCUCACUCUGAGCCCCAGCAGUUUAGUUUAUAUCACAGGUUUUAGUCUUUCGUAUGUAAACAAAGUUAUGCAAACAUAUACAUUUGAAUUUGCGGUAGUUUUUUUUUCAAAGGCAAUCUGAACAAAAGAGGAAGAGCCCUCACUGAGAUACUGAGAAGUGAAAUGCAGGAGCAGUGUCUCUGGUUUGAGUUACAAGGAAGGCCAUAAGUGCUUUUGAAACCCAAUCUUUGCUAAACAUACACCACAUGUGUGUUUGUAGGCCGGUACCAAGGGCCUGCAGAGGCCUCGUUUUACUCUCUGCUGUAAUGAACAAAUUUGAUUAAAGGGCCAAAAAUUCAACUCGUGCAAGAGCUGCAAUGUGAAAAAUCCUGGCACCAUUAACCUUUGCUGUGGCAGGAACAGGACUACUGUGGGAACGGAGCACGUCUUCCCCCUAUGCACGAUGCAGCAAACGAGCUUUUUGGGACUAAAAAUCCCCCCUAAAACAACAAACAAACCAAAAACCCCAAACAAAUCCAACAAACACUGGGGCUGGGAGCCGCUCGCCCUCACAGCGGCGUCCGUGCCGAGAGCUGUGCUGCCACCUCCUGGUGGCUCCCGGCAUGGCCCCAGCCGGUGCCGCCUUCAGAGCCAUCAAAAUCGGUACUAAUUUCACCCAUAGUUACCAAAGUUCUUGUUCGAGUUUCUAAUCUCUGCCCGCUCCGAACGGAAGUAUUUCCCCGGGAAAACAUUUGUGACGCGUUUGGAUUUCUGCUGAUUCUGCUCGGCGCCUUUCUCCCCUCCCUGCUUUUCCAUGCGCUUCGCACAGUCCCACAGAGGGAUGAGGUCGUCCCUGUGGGCGCAGCUCCCGCGCCUCGUCAAAGCUCCCCGGGACUGAGGUAGAGCAGGAGCCUCAGAGCUUUCAUCGCUGUCUUCUGGUGGCAUUUCUUAAAAAUUCAGUUUGCAACAGCAGCCUACCAAGAAACAGCAAAAUGCUCCCAGCUAAAUAAUUUUUCUUAAUUUUGUAAUGUAAAUUCUGAAGGGAUUAACGAUGUAAUUCCUACAAGUGUCAGAAGCAGCUCUGAUCAUCCUUUCUCUCAAGACAUAAAAACCGCAGGACCACAAACAUUCCAAUUAUGGCAAAAUUGCUUCAGAACACUGUAGCAAAUCUGCCGUGCCUUCCAUACCACAAAAACUAUAGAGGAUACAACUACGAGAAAUGGAACAAAAAGGAAUGCCUCAAGUCUCACACGUCCAAAACACCACUCACAGCAAGAGGUCUUAAAAAUAUAGUAUGUAUUAUUUCAUUUAAAAACCAAGAAUAAUAUUUUCAGACAGAAAAUGAUAAGGAGAGACAGCACAACUUUCUUCUUCAUCCAGCCCUGUCCCUACUGUGCUUUAAAAAACCAGAAAGAUAAGAGAAAGAAAUAAAUGGUUGCAAUGAAAUGUCAUUAAUUCAAUAUCAGCAGCCCACAGAUCUGGUAAGAAGCAUCACUCAAGCAACCUACCCAAAUAUGAUACCUUGUUUAAAAAAAAAACCACUGGGAUUUACAUUAUAAGUUUUUUAAAAGUGAUAUUAAUAUAGUACUCAAUGUCGAGAAAUUGAGGGACUGAGGUGGUAAAAUACAUGCUCAACUACAUCCAUAAGAUUUAAAAUGUUUAAUGUGCAAGUCUCUGACAGAAAUUAUUAAAUUACAAUACACUAAAAUUUGAAGGAUGGGAAUUUCUUCAUGUGUAUGCUCACAGUAGCAGGUGAAAUACUCAGCUGUUGAAGUACAAACAUCACUAUGCUUAAGUGACUUAUACAUAAUUUUUAAGGCAAAAAUAGGUAACAACAUGACUGCAUACAGUUGCAAAAAUAUUUACAGGUAUCAUUAGAGAAACAUUAUACUUCUAGCAUGAAAGUUUUGAUUAUGCACUUAGUAGACAGUGAUUUAUAUGAAAAAUUAUCAUUAAAAAUGUAAAAUUAAUCUAGCUAGGAUGAGUAGCUCUGACAUUUUUACACUGGCCUCCACACUCUCUGAUCUUUGUCCUUCAACCUCUAUCACUGUAAGCUGUUCUCUCUCUCCCUGCUACUUUCCAGUCUUAUUACAAAGGUGCAGGUGUGCCUGAGCAGCCUUAGGAUCUACAGAGGAAGAAGCUGCAGUGCUAAAAAUGUAUGCAAAUGGUCCCAGAAAACCAGAAAAGAAUGGAAAAAACAGAUCCUGAGAAAUAAAAUUAGUGAGAAGGAAAAAAAAAAA
This is a long non-coding RNA of Pyrgilauda ruficollis (rufous-necked snowfinch), 19074 nucleotides long. RefSeq lists it as uncharacterized. The record is from RefSeq and is a predicted model, not a curated record. NCBI's taxonomy places the organism in Eukaryota, Metazoa, Chordata, Aves, Passeriformes, Passeridae. The transcript has 2 exons.